AUUAUUUUGGCAGAUUAGUGCGGUAAAUUUAGAAUUUAUAAAAAUAUUAGUAAUUUAAAUAAUA
RNAcentral lists this transfer RNA (64 nucleotides) under Encyrtus infelix. RNAcentral describes it as "tRNA-Leu". Lineage: Eukaryota; Metazoa; Arthropoda; Insecta; Hymenoptera; Encyrtidae. The record is from RNAcentral.